GACGAACGCUGGCGGCGUGCUUAACACAUGCGAGUCGAACGGAAAGGCCCUGCUUUUGUGGGGUGCUCGAGUGGCGAACGGGUGAGUAACACGUGAGUAACCUGCCCUAGACUUUGGGAUAACUUCAGGAAACUGGGGCUAAUACCGGAUAGGAGCUCCUGCUGCAUGGUGGGGGUUGGAAAGUUUCGGCGGUUGGGGAUGGACUCGCGGCUUAUCAGCUUGUUGGUGGGGUAGUGGCUUACCAAGGCUUUGACGGGUAGCCGGCCUGAGAGGGUGACCGGCCACAUUGGGACUGAGAUACGGCCCAGACUCCUACGGGAGGCAGCAGUGGGGAAUAUUGCACAAUGGGCGGAAGCCUGAUGCAGCAACGCCGCGUGCGGGAUGACGGCCUUCGGGUUGUAAACCGCUUUCGCCUGUGACGAAGCGUGAGUGACGGUAAUGGGUAAAGAAGCACCGGCUAACUACGUG
RNAcentral lists this ribosomal RNA (468 nucleotides) under uncultured bacterium. RNAcentral describes it as "partial 16S ribosomal RNA". It matches the Rfam family "Bacterial small subunit ribosomal RNA", at positions 28 to 507 of the family's 1533-position model. The record is from RNAcentral.